AGUGAACGCUGGCGGUAGGCCUAACACAUGCAAGUCGAACGGCAGCACAGUAAGAGCUUGCUCUAAUGGGUGGCGAGUGGCGGACGGGUGAGGAAUACAUCGGAAUCUACUUUUUCGUGGGGGAUAACGUAGGGAAGCCUACGCUAAUACCGCAUACGACCUACGGGUGCAAGCAGGGGAUCUUCGGACCUUGCGCGAUUGAAUGAGCCGAUGUCGGAUUAGCUAGUUGGCGGGGUAAAGGCCCACCAAGGCGACGAUCCGUAGCUGGUCUGAGAGGAUGGUCAGCCGCACUGGAACUGGGACAGGGUCCAGACUCCUGCGAGAGGGAGCAGUGGGGAAUGUGAGGCAGUAGGCGGAAGCCUGGUCCAGCCAUACCGAGUGGGUGAAGAAGGCCUUCGGGUUGUAAAGCCGUUUUGUGGGGAAUGAAAAGCAGCAGGUUGAUACGCAGCUGUUCUGACGGUACCCAAAGAAUAAGCACCGGCUAACUUCGUG
Molecule: ribosomal RNA, 492 nt
Filed under: uncultured bacterium
Lineage: Bacteria
Description: partial 16S ribosomal RNA
Rfam family: Bacterial small subunit ribosomal RNA
Source: RNAcentral